UACGAGGGGGGCGAGCGUUGUUCGGAAUUAUUGGGCGUAAAGGGUGCGUAGGCGGUUCCGCAAGUCCUGUGUGAAAUCUUCGGGCUCAACUCGAAGUCUGCACGGGAAACUGCGGGGCUUGAGUGUGGGAGAGGUGAGUGGAAUUCCCGGUGUAGCGGCGAAAUGCGUAGAUAUCGGGAGGAACACCUGUGGCGAAAGCGGCUCACUGGACCAUAACUGACGCUGAUGCACGAAAGCUGGGGGGAGCAAACAGG
RNAcentral lists this ribosomal RNA (254 nucleotides) under uncultured bacterium. RNAcentral describes it as "partial 16S ribosomal RNA". It matches the Rfam family "Bacterial small subunit ribosomal RNA", at positions 524 to 776 of the family's 1533-position model. The record is from RNAcentral.